AGACCAUGGUGUGGGCACUAUCUCUGCAAAUCUUUAAAAUUUUCCCAGACUUCAAACAAGCUCCCAUCUGCCUAUUGAGUAAUAGAAAUAAUUUGGCUCCUCAGACG
Non-coding RNA from Spinacia oleracea (spinach), 107 nucleotides. The record is from Rfam. NCBI's taxonomy places the organism in Eukaryota, Viridiplantae, Streptophyta, Magnoliopsida, Caryophyllales, Amaranthaceae.